RNAcentral lists this ribosomal RNA (496 nucleotides) under uncultured bacterium. RNAcentral describes it as "partial 16S ribosomal RNA". It matches the Rfam family "Bacterial small subunit ribosomal RNA", at positions 28 to 507 of the family's 1533-position model. The record is from RNAcentral.
GAUGAACGCUGGCGGCGUGCCUAAUACAUGCAAGUCGAGCGAACGGACGAGAAGCUUGCUUCUCUGAUGUUAGCGGCGGACGGGUGAGUAACACGUGGAUAACCUACCUAUAAGACUGGGAUAACUUCGGGAAACCGGAGCUAAUACCGGAUGAUAUUUUGAACCGCAUGGUUCAAAAGUGAAAGACGGUCUUGCUGUCACUUAUAGAUGGAUCCGCGCUGCAUUAGCUAGUUGGUAAGGUAACGGCUUACCAAGGCAACGAUGCAUAGCCGACCUGAGAGGGUGAUCGGCCACUCUGGAACUGAGACACGGUCCAGACUCCGACGGGAGGCAGCAGUAGGGAAUCUUCCGCAAUGGGCGAAAGCCUGCCGGAGCAACGCCGCGUGAGUGAGGAAGGUCUUCGGAUCGUAAAACUCUGUUAUUAGGGAAGAACAUAUGUGUAGUAACUGUGCACAUCUUGACGGUACCUAAUCAGAAAGCCACGGCUAACUACGUG